Long non-coding RNA from Etheostoma cragini (Arkansas darter), 112 nucleotides. RefSeq lists it as uncharacterized. Lineage: Eukaryota; Metazoa; Chordata; Actinopteri; Perciformes; Percidae. The record is from RefSeq and is a predicted model, not a curated record. The transcript is spliced from 4 exons.
CAUCUGUUUUUUAAUUCACAUUUGCUGAAAUUUAUGGACAUUGUAACAUUCAAAACUGCACAAUUUAUGUUUAAACUUAAAGAAAAUAAUUUACCAUGUAACAUAGGCGCAA